Molecule: long non-coding RNA, 458 nt
Organism: Triticum dicoccoides
Lineage: Eukaryota; Viridiplantae; Streptophyta; Magnoliopsida; Poales; Poaceae
Exons: 4
Source: RefSeq, a predicted model, not a curated record
AUUCAGGGUCAAACUGGGCUAUAUUUCUUUCAUUGAGGCGAGGGUGAUUCCAGCAGAUUUUGCUUGGCGUACUCGCCUUUUUUCUUGAAGUUGGGCGUCGGUCGUCUCUGCGGCAAGGAUUAUUAUGGAUUUUCUGAAGGUGUUGGCGGGGGUUGCACGGCAUGUUCCGUCUGGUUUCAGGAGUGUGUGCUGCACCUGAAAAAAUUUCUCGGGUUGUCUCUCUACAUAUUUCCACGUUAGUUGUGAUAUUUUAUUUAUUGCUCUGCAAUUGACAGUUUGACCUCAUGCUAGGGCAGCCUCAGCCAGUUGCCUCUUCUAUCAAAGGUUGAGAUGCAUCACAUGAUGUUUUCCUUUUACAUUUAUGGGUAUUACAGAACCCUUUCUUUUUCCACAAGGGGUAGUAGCUGUGCCAUUCGAUUCGGAGGACAAAGAGUUGAUCACAAAGGGGUAGCAUUCAG